RNAcentral lists this unclassified non-coding RNA (386 nucleotides) under Hevea brasiliensis (rubber tree). The record is from RNAcentral. Lineage: Eukaryota; Viridiplantae; Streptophyta; Magnoliopsida; Malpighiales; Euphorbiaceae.
CUCCCUGUCAAGUCUCCUACAUUUGCUUUCUUUCUCUCUCUAAUUCUUUACAUUUAUCCCUUUUUACUUUUCUCACUUAGGUUUAAUAAUGGGUAGAAAAGGGGCAGUGGAGUACUAAGCAAAAAAAUUGGGUUAAUUUUAUUCAUCAUCCCUCAAUUUUACUCAAUCCAGUUCUGAAAAAGUAAUGGAACGUUCAAAUUGACCCAUCAACCCCAGAUUUUCAUCUUAACAAAAGAAAAAAUGCCCAUAACGUAUGACUGCAAAAACUGUUGAACAGGAGGCUAUAGUGGUAUAGUGGCUUUCAAGCGCAUUGAAAAUGAAACAUAACAAGCAAAAUAAUAAUAAUAAUAAGGUGUUCAAAUUCUAUAUUGGGGUGAUAUUAAUUC